Molecule: ribosomal RNA, 500 nt
Filed under: uncultured bacterium
Lineage: Bacteria
Description: partial 16S ribosomal RNA
Rfam family: Bacterial small subunit ribosomal RNA
Source: RNAcentral
AUUGAACGCUGGCGGAAUGCUUUACACAUGCAAGUCGAACGGCAGCACGGACUUCGGUCUGGUGGCGAGUGGCGAACGGGUGAGUAAUGUAUCGGAACGUGCCCAGUCGUGGGGGAUAACGUAGUGAAAAUUACGCUAAUACCGCAUACGAUCUAUGGAUGAAAGCGGGGGAUCGCAAGACCUCGCGCGAUUGGAGCGGCCGAUAUCAGAUUAGGUAGUUGGUGGGGAAAAGGGCCACCAAGCCAAAGAUCUGUAACUGGUCUGAGAGGACGACCAGCCACACUGGAACUGAGACACGGUCCAGACUCCUACGGGAGGCAGCAGUGGGGAAUUUUGGACAAUGGGCGAAAGCCUGAUCCAGCCAUUCCGCGUGCAGGAUGAAGGCCCUCGGGUUGUAAACUGCUUUUGUACAGAACGAAAAGGUUUCUACUAAUACUAGGAGCUCAUGACGGUACUGUAAGAAUAAGCACCGGCUAACUACGUGCCAGCAGCCGCGGUAA